Molecule: small RNA, 555 nt
Filed under: Pongo abelii (Sumatran orangutan)
Lineage: Eukaryota; Metazoa; Chordata; Mammalia; Primates; Hominidae
Description: processed transcript
Source: RNAcentral
AGUCUCUGCUUUCUCCUCCCCAGGUUGGCACACGAGGGGCUGGUGGCUCACGUCACAAAGAUGGAGUGGAUGUUGAAGAUGAUCCGACUUGCUCUUGGCCAGCUUCCUCACCUUCUAGCAAGGAUCAGACUUCUCCUAGCCAUGGAGAAGGUUGCGAUUUUGGAGAGGAAGAAGGUGGCCCUGGGCUUCCAUACCCAUGUCAAUUCUGUGACAAGUCGUUUAGCCGCCUCAGCUACCUAAAGCACCAUGAGCAGAGUCACAGCGACAAACUGCCUUUCAAAUGCACCUACUGCAGUAGGCUGUUCAAACACAAGCGCAGCCGAGAUCGCCACAUAAAACUCCACACCGGGGACAAGAAGUACCACUGCAGUGAAUGUGAUGCUGCGUUUUCCAGAAGUGAUCACUUGAAGAUCCACUUAAAGACUCACACGUCCAACAAGCCAUAUAAAUGUGCCAUUUGUCGCCGUGGGUUUCUGUCCUCUAGUUCCUUACACGGACACAUGCAGGUUCACGAGAGGAACAAGGACGGCUCUCAGUCCGGUUCCAGGAUGGAGG